CCUGGCGGCGAUAGCGCGGUGGUCCCACCUGACCCCAUGCCGAACUCAGAAGUGAAACGCCGUAGCGCCGAUGGUAGU
This 78-nucleotide ribosomal RNA is filed under the name Klebsiella aerogenes. RNAcentral also lists the same sequence under 3 other names. Lineage: Bacteria; Pseudomonadati; Pseudomonadota; Gammaproteobacteria; Enterobacterales; Enterobacteriaceae. The record is from RNAcentral.